RNAcentral lists this ribosomal RNA (309 nucleotides) under Triticum aestivum (bread wheat). RNAcentral's name for it is "partial small subunit ribosomal RNA". The record is from RNAcentral. Lineage: Eukaryota; Viridiplantae; Streptophyta; Magnoliopsida; Poales; Poaceae.
AUGUCCCUGCCGUGUCCCCCGGGGCCAGCCGCCAAAACAGCCGUCGUCGACCGCGCGCGCACGCUGACGCCAUCCACGAUCCAGCGGCAGGGCAACGGGCGACGGGAAAGCGCGGCCGGCCGCGUGUCGGCGUCCGUCCGGCCCGAUCGAGAAUCCACCGCGCAGCUAUCAAAGCAUACGCCACCGACCCCUGGGGUUUCCCGCCUCCUCCCUCUUAAACCCCCUCUCCCUCCCAUGGUGGCAGCAGCCAGCAGAGCACGACGCUUCCACACAACGCUUCCACUGCCGAUACUACGACUCCACGAGUGA